GAUGAACGCUAGCGGGAGGCCUAACACAUGCAAGUCGAGGGGUAGCAGGAAAGCUUGCUUUUGCUGACGACCGGCGCACGGGUGAGUAACGCGUAUGUAAUCUGCCUUAUACUAAGGGAUAGCCCGCUGAAAAGCGGAUUAAUACCUUAUAGUUUAUAGUUGUCGCAUGGCAAUUAUAAUAAAGCUCUGGCGGUAUAAGAUGAACAUGCGUCCCAUUAGCUAGUUGGUGAGGUAACGGCUCACCAAGGCUACGAUGGGUAGGGGUUCUGAGAGGAUUAUCCCCCACACUGGUACUGAGACACGGACCAGACUCCUACGGGAGGCAGCAGUGAGGAAUAUUGGUCAAUGGGCGCAAGCCUGAACCAGCCAUCCCGCGUGAAGGAUGACGGCCCUAUGGGUUGUAAACUUCUUUUAUACACCAAGAAACCCAUCUACGUGUAGAUGUCUGACGGUAGUGUAUGAAUAAGCACCGGCUAACUCCG
This 482-nucleotide ribosomal RNA is filed under the name uncultured Bacteroidales bacterium. RNAcentral's name for it is "bacterial SSU rRNA". It matches the Rfam family "Bacterial small subunit ribosomal RNA", at positions 28 to 505 of the family's 1533-position model. The record is from RNAcentral. Lineage: Bacteria; Pseudomonadati; Bacteroidota; Bacteroidia; Bacteroidales.